Molecule: ribosomal RNA, 765 nt
Filed under: uncultured Streptococcus sp.
Lineage: Bacteria; Bacillati; Bacillota; Bacilli; Lactobacillales; Streptococcaceae
Description: bacterial SSU rRNA
Rfam family: Bacterial small subunit ribosomal RNA
Source: RNAcentral
GACGAACGCUGGCGGCGUGCCUAAUACAUGCAAGUAGAACGCUGAAGAGAGGAGCUUGCUCUUCUUGGAAGAGUUGCGAACGGGUGAGUAACGCGUAGGUAACCUGCCUUGUAGCGGGGGAUAACUAUUGGAAACGAUAGCUAAUACCGCAUAACAAUGGGUGACCCAUGUCAUUCAUUUGAAAGGGGCAACUGCUCCACUACAAGAUGGACCUGCGUUGUAUUAGCUAGUAGGUGAGGUAACGGCUCACCUAGGCGACGAUACAUAGCCGACCUGAGAGGGUGAUCGGCCACACUGGGACUGAGACACGGCCCAGACUCCUACGGGAGGCAGCAGUAGGGAAUCUUCGGCAAUGGGGGCAACCCUGACCGAGCAACGCCGCGUGAGUGAAGAAGGUUUUCGGAUCGUAAAGCUCUGUUGUAAGUCAAGAACGAGUGUGAGAGUGGAAAGUUCACACUGUGACGGUAGCUUACCAGAAAGGGACGGCUAACUACGUGCCAGCAGCCGCGGUAAUACGUAGGUCCCGAGCGUUGUCCGGAUUUAUUGGGCGUAAAGCGAGCGCAGGCGGUUUGAUAAGUCUGAAGUUAAAGGCUGUGGCUCAACCAUAGUUCGCUUUGGAAACUGUCAAACUUGAGUGCAGAAGGGGAGAGUGGAAUUCCAUGUGUAGCGGUGAAAUGCGUAGAUAUAUGGAGGAACACCGGUGGCGAAAGCGGCUCUCUGGUCUGUAACUGACGCUGAGGCUCGAAAGCGUGGGGAGCGAACAGG